Mustela lutreola (European mink) is the source of this 2541-nucleotide long non-coding RNA. RefSeq lists it as uncharacterized. The transcript has 4 exons. The record is from RefSeq and is a predicted model, not a curated record. NCBI's taxonomy places the organism in Eukaryota, Metazoa, Chordata, Mammalia, Carnivora, Mustelidae.
AGUUCAGUAAAACACUUAGACGACUGGGAGAGUUGUGCCCCGCCCGGGCUGCGCCGCCUUCCCGGGGGCUCGCCAGGGAAGAUUCCGGCCCUGCGCACGCGAGCCAGGGCAGCCGUGGGCCACGCGGCGCGUGUGCGUGGCAGCGCGUGAGUGUGGAGCGCGCGUGGCGGGCAUCAGAACUCCAGGGGAAAAGCCAAGCCAACUGAAAGCCAGGGAACAUAGCAGCCAGCACCAGAGAGCACAAGUUCCCCACCAUAGCUCUGCAGCUCAAGAGGAAAAAGGAAAAAGGAGAUGACGGAUGGUAAUUAAACUGAUGCGGGUGACCAUUCCCCAAGAUGUGGAGGUCAAGUCACUAUGCAGUAGGUUGUGAACUGACAUUGCAUUGUCGCUUCUAUCUCAAUAAAACUGGAAAAAAAAAAAGCAACCCAAAAAACAAAAAAACAAGCUAAACUACACCCAAAAUUCCCCAGGAGGGAAGAACAAAAUUAGCGAGUUGAUGUCUGCCCUUUCCGAUGGCCAGUGACGUGGAAAACGACUGGAGGAACAUUUUAUACAAAGCAGACCACAACUGAACUUCCAAAAUCAGGAGCUGUGGAUGGAAACCUUGGGAGGCUGUUUUGUCUGGGAAGCUUCCCCUAUAUUUGGUACAAUCGUAUUGACUCAAGGAGCAAUACUGGAGCCUGGAACUGUUCAGUCAGCAUUUUAAACUAUUAUGAGCUACCUUCUGAACCAUUGCCAAGUUAAUAGACAAUGAAAGAUAAUGAGCUUGAAAUUGGGUGUUAAAUUGCAUUUUUGGUUCUCUCCCUUUUUCUAGAAGUUUAACCGUUUCCUGCAGAAACAAAGUCCUGUUUUGAUGUAUCACUAUGUAAAUAUGUAUUUUAGGCCAUGAAGAAGAAAAGGAGAGGAAAAAAGGGGAAGCACACUGUAUUUCAUGUAGGAAGGUUAUACAUAACAUGGGAAAAUUAAAAUACACUGGAUUAUAAAACUGCUAGAUUGUAAAGUAUACUGAAUUUAUGUAAAAUGAAGAUGCUACAUUCAAAGAAUAUAAAAAGGUAUAUUACUCAUGGCCUAGAGCCACCUUCCAAAGUCGUAAAGCAGAUUUAUCCCAGUUCAAUUACUUAGACUUCAAGCAGGGCCUCUUUGUGUUGUGAUUUCAACAAUGUAAAAUUCUUGAUUCAAACAAGAGAAAAGAGAUCAUGAAUGAGGGGACUUCAUGAUGAUGCUGUUUCAACCAUUUCUCCCUUUGCCAUUCAAGGGAGGAGACUGGCAGUCUCAUUCUGAACAAACCAAGGAUUUUUAGGUCAUUUGAUUAAACUGGACAAGGGAAACAUUUGGUUCUUGAAAAUCAUCUUCAAAGUAGUCAAAAAAUGAACACCAAACUUCACAAAUGUCAUUCACCUGAAUUUUUGAGGCCUGAAGAUUUCAUUAUGAUGGGAAGAAAGGCUUAUCCUCAUUAGUAUAAUUGUGGAAUCUUUCCUUUACUUCCCUUUAAACUAAUGAGUUACAUUAAUCUAGGUUCAUUUUUAUAAGCCUCUUGGGGCUAAAUGUAAAGGACAGUCAUCUUAGAAAACAAUAAAUUAAAAAAAAAAAAGCAUGUACUGUGCAUUAAGUGCACGUAUUUCAUAAGACCUAGGUUAAUACAACUGGCAUCCAGUUUAAUUAAUCCUUGUUAGUGUAACAACUAAUAUCCCUCCCUAGCAUGUUUCCUUUAAACAUUAGUAUGUUAAUUAAAUGUUUUUUUUUAAAGAUUUUUCUUUGUACUUCAAUAUGGCAUUUAUACCACGUAAAUCUCUCCUCAAUAUCUACCUUAUAAAGAUGUUUUCUUACAAUAUCUGGUCUCUUGCAGAAAUUCUGGAGCCUUUUUGAAAGCUGUUCAGGUGUAGAAUACAGAUAUUCAGCUGCAGGAAAAACAGAUACAUUUUUAAUGAAACAAAAACCUCAAAGCACACACUCGAUAUUAGUCACUUUACUAAUUAAAAAUGCAUAUUGCUCUGUGCUGCCUCGUGUUUUACAUUAUUUAAGCAUGAUUUUAUAAGGUUACCUCAGCUCACAAGGAUGUUUAAUGCUAAAUAAGACUGUGUAGUUGUGCUGUUUAGACAUCUCCUUUGGGUGAUUAAAAUACAUUAUUCUAAUGUAACACAAUGCAUAUGUGAUGUAUUUAGUGAUGAGAAUUUUUUUCAAAGAACUGGUACUAUAGCCGUAUGUACCCUGUAACAACAGUUGCAUAUUAUUAACUAGUCAAUUGUUUAAAUAAUUUGGUGUGACUUCCAGUCCUUGAUUUUUCUCUGUGUAUAUCAUUAAAAAAAAAUCUGUAAGCAAUUGCAGCAACACUGACCUGCUUAUAAAAAUCCAUCAUUAUGGGAUGUGUAUGCUAACAAUGAAGAAUGCUAUUUGAAAACUUGCUUUUUUGUUAUCUUAAAAGAACAGAUGGUAAAUAUAAGCUUACUCUAAUGUAUUAAAACACAUAAAAUUUUCCUUAACACUAACAUGUUGACUUGCCAAAUAAACAAUUGCUCCUGCCUAAGUUUAUUUUCAAACUUU